AACAAUAUAUAGAAGAUAAUGGUGGUUUGAAGUUUAAACGAGAAGUCCUGAUCAAAUCAAAUCCAACUGAACCGUGAAUAUCGGAGGCUCGAGCGGCCGUGUACGCGCUAUCCCUGCUGCCUAUAAAAGGCAAGACGCAUCAAUCGGGCGGGGGGAGCGAAGGUGGCGCCACACACGCACGCACAAGGCCUGGAGACGGAGGCCCUACCCGCAGCGGGAGGCAGCGGACGCCGCGCCGAUCACGAACGGGCGAACAACUCCGCGGAGCAUCAACAAGAGAUCGAUUGGGAGCUCAAAAAGCAGGCGCCUGCAGAAGGCGCUGGCGGCGGCGACACACGCCAGGGCAGCGAGCAGACAGCAUCCGGCGUCGCGGCAAAGCACGUGUAUCAGCAACGUGCUGCAUCGGGAGAAGCAGACCGGCCGUCCAUACAACAUGAAGAUCCAGGUAUUUGUAUCUCUUUGUGUAGCAAGGAGAAUAGGUUCUUGAUCAAGGCGAACAGGUCAAGGAGAGCCGACACGCACCCAAGGCGAACAGGUCGAGGCUACGAGAGCGCUUUGGAGGCCCUAGCCGCACCGAAGGCAGUGCACGACGCGCCGAUCGCGAACAGGUCCGACAUCAAGGCUAUGUGGCCGGCCACGACGGCGCACGCUCGUCCAACGGGGGCGCCCUACAGGUGCCACGGAGAUAAAGCAGGCAGGAGGCAUGCUGUUGUCUCUAGAGCUUAGCGGUGUAAUUUUACGACCAUCUUUUGGUGUGGUCCUGAUUGCCGUCGCGGGCCGUGCGUCAUGUUUUGGUGCCUGUUCGGUGCGGGACGUCGUUUUCAUCAAUAACUAGCACACGUCCGUCUAUUGGGUUGGUGCGGUCGUGGGUGAUGUCUACAUACUGCACGCUUCAUCAACAAGUGCCACCAUCAAGGCAUGGUAGCCAUGCCCAUGUGGUGUCCACUGAGACACCGCCAUACACGGCGCCAGACGGGUGCCUUCUCCUGCCGCCUCAAGCACAACAAUACACAUGUGCUCAACCUGCAAGGGCAGCAUGCACGACAACGCAUGUUGUAAAGCAUUCGCUCUUCUUCCAUCGUGGUAAGUACAGAUUCCUCUA
Brachypodium distachyon (stiff brome) is the source of this 1102-nucleotide long non-coding RNA. RefSeq lists it as uncharacterized. The record is from RefSeq and is a predicted model, not a curated record. Lineage: Eukaryota; Viridiplantae; Streptophyta; Magnoliopsida; Poales; Poaceae. The transcript is spliced from 2 exons.